This 107-nucleotide small nuclear RNA is filed under the name Myotis brandtii (Brandt's bat). The record is from RNAcentral. Lineage: Eukaryota; Metazoa; Chordata; Mammalia; Chiroptera; Vespertilionidae.
GUGCUCGCUUUGGCAGCACAUAUACUAAAAUUGGAACAAUACAGACAAGAUGAGCAUGGCCCCUGGGAAAGGAUGACAUGGGAAUUCCUGAAGCAUUCCAUGUUUUU